Molecule: long non-coding RNA, 661 nt
Filed under: Mustela putorius furo (domestic ferret)
Lineage: Eukaryota; Metazoa; Chordata; Mammalia; Carnivora; Mustelidae
Description: lncRNA (ENSMPUG00000031201.1)
Source: RNAcentral
AUGUGGCCAAGGAGCCAUGUCAUAGCCUUUCUGAGCAACUAUCUUUUCCCUGUAUUCGCCAACGACGUCCUUGGACAACGACAGCAUGGAAAGAAAGAGAAAGUGGCAACCUACUGCCCCCCGCACCUGUCUGACCUUCCUUCCGUGGCAGUCAGUGGAACACAGAGAGUGUUGGUAGACUGUGUGCAUGUCACAAAUGGAAAAGAAGGCACUGAGUUUGAUUUGUGCAGUGAUGACACUCUUCUGAAGUCACCUGUAUACUCUAUCCAAAUGGUUUCCACAAGAAGCUAUUUAAUGAUGAAUCCAUUUACAUGUGACACUGCUACAUGGAUGUUCCCUGUGUGUCCUGGCAGCAUGACCUGCCUCUUCUUCACCUGGGGUGGACAGCCUCGUCUGGCUUCUGCUGGGCUGCACAUGGAUGAGGGGCAGACGCUCAGGCAUCCCUGAAGACUGAGACACCAGGAGACAGUAAGACAUUCACUAGCCAUAGUUCAGGCAUCCAGGGCAGGAACAGAGGCCAGUGGACCCACCACGACCCCAGACAUAGGUGGCCUGGAAAUUCAAAUUAGAAAAUACAUUUUCUAACAUUUUUGAAAAUAAAAAGUCUGGAAAAUAUUCUAAGCAUGAAAGGAAUGUGAUUUUUAAGGCCAAUUCUAGAAAA